RNAcentral lists this unclassified non-coding RNA (204 nucleotides) under uncultured Trichaptum. RNAcentral describes it as "sequence contains ITS2". The record is from RNAcentral. Lineage: Eukaryota; Fungi; Basidiomycota; Agaricomycetes; Polyporales; Polyporaceae.
UAAUAUCAACCCCGUCGGUUUGUUAAUCAGACCGUUGGGUGUUGGACUUGGAGGUUCUUGCUGGCUGCAAAGUCGGCUCCUCUUGAAUGCAUUAGCUUGGGCCUGUUGUGCGUGCUCGCGGUGUAAUAAGUUUUAUUCAUCGUUUUGGGUCGUACACCUAUUGGGCUUGCUUCUAACUGUCUUUGGACAAACAUUAACCUUUGA